AAGGUAGCUUGCUACUGGACCUAGCGGCGGACGGGUGAGUAAUGCUUAGGAAUCUGCCUAUUAGUGGGGGACAACAUUCCGAAAGGAAUGCUAAUACCGCAUACGCCCUACGGGGGAAAGCAGGGGAUCUUCGGACCUUGCGCUAAUAGAUGAGCCUAAGUCGGAUUAGCUAGUUGGUGGGGUAAAGGCCUACCAAGGCGACGAUCUGUAGCGGGUCUGAGAGGAUGAUCCGCCACACUGGGACUGAGACACGGCCCAGACUCCUACGGGAGGCAGCAGUGGGGAAUAUUGGACAAUGGGCGGAAGCCUGAUCCAGCCAUGCCGCGUGUGUGAAGAAGGCCUUUUGGUUGUAAAGCACUUUAAGCGAGGAGGAGGCUCCUUUAGUUAAUACCUAAAGUGAGUGGACGUUACUCGCAGAAUAAGCACCGGCUAACUCUGUGCCAGCAGCCGCGGUAAUACAGAGGGUGCGAGCGUUAAUCGGAUUUACUGGGCGUAAAGCGUGCGUAGGCGGCUUUUUAAGUCGGAUGUGAAAUCCCUGAGCUUAACUUAGGAAUUGCAUUCAAUACUGGAAAGCUAGAGUAUGGGAGAGGAUGGUAGAAUUCCAGGUGUAGCGGUGAAAUGCGUAGAGAUCUGGAGGAAUACCGAUGGCGAAGGCAGCCAUCUGGCCUAAUACUGACGCUGAGGUACGAAAGCAUGGGGAGCAAACAGGAUUAGAUACCCUGUAGUCCAUGCCGUAAACGAUGUCUACUAGCCGUUGGGGCCUUUGAGGCUUUAGUGGCGCAGCU
This 785-nucleotide ribosomal RNA is filed under the name uncultured bacterium. RNAcentral describes it as "SSU rRNA". It matches the Rfam family "Bacterial small subunit ribosomal RNA", at positions 72 to 853 of the family's 1533-position model. The record is from RNAcentral.